RNAcentral lists this ribosomal RNA (253 nucleotides) under uncultured bacterium. RNAcentral describes it as "partial 16S ribosomal RNA". It matches the Rfam family "Bacterial small subunit ribosomal RNA", at positions 524 to 776 of the family's 1533-position model. The record is from RNAcentral.
UACGUAGGGCGCAAGCGUUGUCCGGAAUUAUUGGGCGUAAAGAGCUCGUAGGCGGUUUGUUGCGUCGGCUGUGAAAUCCCGAGGCUCAACCUCGGGUCUGCAGUCGAUACGAGCAAACUAGAGUGUUGCAGGGGAGACUGGAAUUCCUGGUGUAGCGGUGAAAUGCGCAGAUAUCAGGAGGAACACCGGUGGCGAAGGCGGGUCUCUGGGCAACAACUGACGCUGAGGAGCGAAAGCGUGGGGAGCGAACGGG